CUGAAUACUAGACUGAGUGAUAGACACUGACAAUAGUCAAAAAUGUUUAACAAAGAUUACAUAGUAGGGCUACUGCUAAUGGUUAUAGGACUGUCAGGUUUUCAGGGUCAGAGGCUGAUUGAGUCUGGACCAGUAGUUAAAAAGCCUGAAGAACCACACAAACUGACGUGCAUAGCCUCUGGUUUAGACAUGAAUAACUACCGGAUGGCUUGGAUCAGACAGGCUCCUGGGAAAGGACUGGAGUGGGUUGCAGCUAUUACCCAUGACAGCAGAAGCACCUACUACCCCCAGUCUGUUCAGGGUCGGUUCACCAUCUCCAGAGACAAUAGCAUGAAACAGGUGUAUCUCCAGAUGAACAGUCUGAAGACUGAAGACUCUGCUGUUUAUUAUUGUGCCAGAGACACAGUGACACAGGAGGCUAAAGAGCUGUACAUAAACUGAUCAAGCACUUCUCUCACUGGAAGAGUCUAAUGGGAUGUAAGACAGACAAUAAACUGAGGAUCCAGCACAAGUGUAUUCACAGCAUACCAUUCCUCAUCAAGCUCAAUGAAGCUUAAACCACUCUGACCAUGUUAGUCAGUAAAUAUAAUCUUGAUUACAGCUUAUUUACAUUCACCUGUAUAUCAGUCUAAUCCAAUUAAGAGUUUGAGUUACUGGUAGGUAGUAAUGUAGCCAUUGAACAUAAUGAAAUAUCAAAGAGGAAUUUUGAUAGCAGACUUUGACUGAUAUAUGAAAAGAGUAAUAGGCUGUUGUCAGGCAGUGGGUGUAGCUGGUGCAUGGAAGUCAGGCGCAGGAGAGCAGAGAUGAGUGGACAAAGCACUUUGCUGAAGCAUUUAAUAGAACAGAACGCAACUGCAUCACAAAAACAAAUGCCCAAAGAACAAGUGAUGCAGCAUCUUGUACAAUAACCAAGUACAAGCGUGCCAACCUGAACAAUAAACAAUACCCCACAC
Non-coding RNA from Salmo salar (Atlantic salmon), 953 nucleotides. The record is from the annotation of a RefSeq genome assembly. NCBI's taxonomy places the organism in Eukaryota, Metazoa, Chordata, Actinopteri, Salmoniformes, Salmonidae.